GACGAACGCUGGCGGCGUGCCUAAUACAUGCAAGUAGAACGCUGAAGGAGGAGCUUGCUCUUCUGGAUGAGUUGCGAACGGGUGAGUAACGCGUAGGUAACCUGCCUGGUAGCGGGGGAUAACUAUUGGAAACGAUAGCUAAUACCGCAUAAGAGUAGAUGUUGCAUGACAUUUACUUAAAAGGUGCAAUUGCAUCACUACCAGAUGGACCUGCGUUGUAUUAGCUAGUUGGUGGGGUAACGGCUCACCAAGGCGACGAUACAUAGCCGACCUGAGAGGGUGAUCGGCCACACUGGGACUGAGACACGGCCCAGACUCCUACGGGAGGCAGCAGUAGGGAAUCUUCGGCAAUGGACGGAAGUCUGACCGAGCAACGCCGCGUGAGUGAAGAAGGUUUUCGGAUCGUAAAGCUCUGUUGUAAGAGAAGAACGAGUGUGAGAGUGGAAAGUUCACACUGUGACGGUAUCUUACCAGAAAGGGACGGCUAACUACGUGCCAGCAGCCGCGGUAAUACGUAGGUCCCGAGCGUUGUCCGGAUUUAUUGGGCGUAAAGCGAGCGCAGGCGGUUAGAUAAGUCUGAAGUUAAAGGCUGUGGCUUAACCAUAGUACGCUUUGGAAACUGUUUAACUUGAGUGCAAGAGGGGAGAGUGGAAUUCCAUGUGUAGCGGUGAAAUGCGUAGAUAUAUGGAGGAACACCGGUGGCGAAAGCGGCCCUCUGGCUUGUAACUGACGCUGAGGCUCGAAAGCGUGGGGAGCAAACAGG
Molecule: ribosomal RNA, 763 nt
Filed under: uncultured Streptococcus sp.
Lineage: Bacteria; Bacillati; Bacillota; Bacilli; Lactobacillales; Streptococcaceae
Description: bacterial SSU rRNA
Rfam family: Bacterial small subunit ribosomal RNA
Source: RNAcentral